This 502-nucleotide ribosomal RNA is filed under the name Botryosphaeria dothidea. RNAcentral describes it as "eukaryotic LSU rRNA". The stretch from base 147 to 300 matches the Rfam family "5.8S ribosomal RNA". The record is from RNAcentral. Lineage: Eukaryota; Fungi; Ascomycota; Dothideomycetes; Botryosphaeriales; Botryosphaeriaceae.
CCCUUUGUGUACCUACCUCUGUUGCUUUGGCGGGCCGCGGUCCUCCGCGGCCGCCCCCCUCCCCGGGGGGGUGGCCAGCGCCCGCCAGAGGACCAUCAAACUCCAGUCAGUAAACGAUGCAGUCUGAAAAACAUUUAAUAAACUAAAACUUUCAACAACGGAUCUCUUGGUUCUGGCAUCGAUGAAGAACGCAGCGAAAUGCGAUAAGUAAUGUGAAUUGCAGAAUUCAGUGAAUCAUCGAAUCUUUGAACGCACAUUGCGCCCUUUGGUAUUCCGAAGGGCAUGCCUGUUCGAGCGUCAUUACAACCCUCAAGCUCUGCUUGGUAUUGGGCACCGUCCUUUGCGGGCGCGCCUCAAAGACCUCGGCGGUGGCGUCUUGCCUCAAGCGUAGUAGAACAUACAUCUCGCUUCGGAGCGCAGGGCGUCGCCCGCCGGACGAACCUUCUGAACUUUUCUCAAGGUUGACCUCGGAUCAGGUAGGGAUACCCGCUGAACUUAAGCA